Musa acuminata AAA Group (dessert banana) is the source of this 1249-nucleotide long non-coding RNA. RefSeq lists it as uncharacterized. NCBI's taxonomy places the organism in Eukaryota, Viridiplantae, Streptophyta, Magnoliopsida, Zingiberales, Musaceae. The transcript has 2 exons. The record is from RefSeq and is a predicted model, not a curated record.
AUCGGAUGCAGACAUGUUCUGAGAAGGGAAAAUGAGACUGACCGGGGUUGGUAAGUGCAAUAACAGGACUGACACCUCCUGCAUUAUUACAUAUGAUAGGAAGGCAUGACCUAAUGAUGCGACAAGAGGCUGUUAAAAGCAUGUAGCUCCGGUGGCUGAUUCAUCUGACCAAGACGUAGUCCCAGAUUAGCCACCAAACAACACCAAGAUGGGGGUCGAUUACUCGUCCCUUACGAAGCGCAUCCCCUCACUGAAAUAUUUGGGGAACCUUUCCAUCGAGAGGUCCACAUCGAGCAUUGCCCCCACAGCACCCUACGGUUCAGAGAUAUUCUCAACCCCGAGCACUGCAAUGUUGGAUGUCUUCGAUCGUAUACACUCCCCUUGCUCGAAUGCUCCGCGCCAUGCCUGAUUGCAACAUCUGAUGGACCAUGUCGGAUCUCUCAUGAGUACAAGUAAACCACUCCUUUCUAGCUAUCAACCCUAAUGCCACAACGUGACAAAACUGCUCCAAGCGAAACCAGUGGCACACUUGUAUGCUAUCCCACGGCAUCUGUCCUUGAAACCUUGUUCCAAGUCUGAACUCUUCUCAGCGGUCACUGUAGCAGUUAUUGUCCACACUGAAUCCAGUAGGAGUUUAGGCAGGUAGGUGAGGAGAGAGGGAGAGAGAGAGAGAGAGAGGGGGGAAAAGACUGGGGCUUACUGGGGGAGCUCGGCAUCGUGCUUGGCGUCGGGGCCGAUGCACAUCAAUGUCUACUAUAGUUACGGGGACUGGCGCAGGCGGGGACAGCGGCAGCAGCGGCCCUGGCCAUGCCAUGCACGCCUUGACCGUGGCCUAACUCGAUGAAGCCAUGGUCUCGCUCUCCUCCCGUGCGUCGUGAUGGAGCAACUCAACUCGCUGCGCAUGCGUGAAGAUGGCAUGAGCGACGGAAGAGAAGGCGGGAGCGUCGCAGCCCAUCGCUUACAGUCUUAUGAUUUGAGGUGUAUGAAGUGACAUCUGACAAGUCAUCGUCGAUUCACCACCAUCUCUCUCCCAUCCCAUCCCAUCCCACGCUUCGCUGGGCGCAGCUGCUGCAUACCAAGCUUACUGCUACUGGUCCACAUGUCUUUUCCCUUCUCUCUCCCUACCAUGUACGUAGGAAGCUUCGAUUUCUCCUACUACGUGUUGUGUGAGAGAGAAAGCGAGACAUGUACGUGCGUACGUACGGCGUAUAGGGAGGGUAAUAUUUUUUGUGCCGUACGUUCCUCGACC